Molecule: long non-coding RNA, 621 nt
Organism: Hibiscus syriacus
Lineage: Eukaryota; Viridiplantae; Streptophyta; Magnoliopsida; Malvales; Malvaceae
Exons: 3
Source: RefSeq, a predicted model, not a curated record
GGUGCAAGUCAUCCUGAUUUCAUAGAAAUUGAGAAAGCAAAGGAAGCGCUGAAAGAGCACGAACAAGCUCUAGUUGAUGCAAUUGCGAGGCUUGAAGGUGCAUCUGACGGUGAAAGUGCAAGAUGAAUCUAUAGUUCCAAAAAUAAAAGGAAACUCGUAACAUAUGGAAAUGCCUUCAACUCCAAAAGAGUUAUAUUUAUUCUAUAUUUAUAUUCAUUUGAUUGGAUUCAAAGCAGAUGAAGAGCAUCCUUUCUCACAAGGGCAGUCAAUGGAUCAAGAAAGAGCGUGGACAAAUAGGUCGUACAAUGAUGAGAUGGGUAAAGGUAGCGUCUGAUGGCGCAAUAAAAUGAUGGGAGGUAUCCAUAAUUUGUGUAGCAUAUUUAACCAGCUUAGUAUGUACAUCAGCUGUAGUUGCAGAUAUAACUGAACAAAAUGCGUUUCGUAAUAUUGUUGUAAUCUUUGAUGUAAACAGCCAUUUCUUUGGUUCCUAGUCCUCUUUAGUUAGCAGGCUAUUGUAACUUUAAUCUAACUGUAGAUUAGGAAAAUGUUCUGUAUAAAGUUUUAAAAUAUUACUUGUGAAUCUCCUUGGCUGUGUGAAAAUUUUAAUUCAUUUUGUUUGCA